UCAAUCACUAUUGCUUAGAAUUAUGGAGUUUGUAGCACUUCGUUUGAACAAAAGAAGAAAGAAUGAAUAAGUCUUGUCCUUUUAAUUCCAAUAAUACCUCUCUCCUCAUAAAAAUAAUCUUAUUUGUGUCUCUAGAAUGUCCUAGUAACUAGUGUAUUGCUAUGACACAAAGUGCUUGAGUUAGAGGCUAUUAUUGUAUGGGCUAUAGUUCAAAACCAUCGUUGUCAAGUGAUUCACACAGAGCUUGUCACAGUACUUAAGACAGCUUCCAUAAGUAGGCUGUUACCUUAGUUGGGCGAUAAAAAUGCAAAACAAAAAAACGAAAAACAAAACGUGGACAAUGCAGGAGAUACUGUGCACCUCUUACUAAUUUAGGCUAAUUUCCAUAUCCUCUGGGUGGCUUUGCCUGUUGUUUGGGAUUUUCGACUCUAGAUGGCGGUAAAGGGUGCACAAUCACGAGCUGAGGUCAGGUUGGUUUUGAGCCAGGGCUCUCUAAGGCUGAUUAGUGACAGCCUCAAUUUCAGGGCUGUUUUCAAUUUCAUGUGUUACAUAAAACAAAGGUUAAUUAGUCAUACUGCUCAUUUUGAGAAGUAGAAAUUUGCCUAUAAAUAGUAUGCUAUUCCGUGCACUAAGUCGUGUGAUGCCUGUUGCUUUUAGUGUUUGACAAAUUAAGGAAAUAUCUUGAAAUGCCUGGAUAAGGUGGACUUGGACAUAGAACCCAGGCAAGACUGCUUUUAUUGUUCCCAUGGCAACAUCUUCAAGCCUUUUAUGCUUAAUAUUUUCACUAAUGUCUGCUUUUUGGUAGACUCUGAAGAUAGUGAAGGUGUUGCUCAUAAAAUAGGAAGAUAGCUAGUAUUUUUCCUGAUUAUAUCUUUUGAUACACCCUCCAUCCAUAUGCACUGUCAAGACCUCUUUUCCUAGGCAAUAUCAUUUGAAAGCAGGAUGAUGCGAACUUAGCUUGAUUAUCUCUAACAUUUUCUAUCUUUUAUAUUUUUAUUUCCCAGUAUUAAAGUGGGAAUGGGAGCUUCUUUUUUCCCUUCAGAUUUAUGCACCAUCUGUAUUUUAAAAUAAUUAUGGCUGUCCCUAAAGUAGCAAGUGUUUCCUAGCUGCCCUGCUACAUCCUGUCUUCUAGCAGUUUAUGACUGCUAACGUUAAUCUUUUUCCUUGCCACCUCUCUCUCCUUUCCCUUUCUCCCUCCUUCCUUCGCUUCCUUUUCCCUUCUCUCCCUUCUUAGGUCUUUCUUUCCCUCUCUGCCUUCCUUCCUUCCCUUCUCUUUUUCUUUUUUCCUUCCUCUUUUUCUUCCUCUCUUCCUUUUUUCUUUUGGCCUUCCUAACCUCUCUGUGUCUCUUUCUUUUUCUUCUCUUUCUUUCAUCUCCUGCCCUCUCUCCCCUCCUUUCUUGCCUCCUUCCUUCUUUCCUUCUUUCUCACUUUCUUCCUUCACUCCUUUGUUCCAGUGUCUUGAAAAGAGUGUAGACUUGGAGAUUGGUCUUGAGCUGAAUUCUACUGAAGCCUCAUAUAUGUUGAGUAUCCUUGGAAAAGUAACCUAACUUCUUUAAAUAUUAUUUUUCUCUUCUAAAAAUGGGCUAAUAACACUUUCUCCAUAUUAUAGUUGAUGGGAGACAAAAGAGUUAAUGUGUGCUAAUCACCUGGCAGAUAGUAUCAUUAACACCUGAGGGAAGUUAAUUUAUCUUUACAGUAGGAGCUGAAUAAAUGGUAUAAAACAGUAUAAACUAUUUUAGUAUAGUUUUCUUUUCAUAGAACCUAUGUAUGCAAUUUAAAUGAAAUUUUACUUACAGUUCCUCAGUGAAAUGAAGUUAUUUCACUCUCAAAUUAAUUCCUGAAUAAUAGCACCUUGGGUCAGAAGUUUAUUGUACUCCGUUGCCACAGUGGUGGGGACAGGGCUGAAUUAGGCAUUAGGAGACCCACUUCUAGUUCUGCCAUGAACCAGCUCUCCCUUUAUUGAAUCUUUUCUUAAGGGGAGGACCUUCACUUUCCGAUGAGAUUUUAAAAGUUAAUUAUAUUAUCUAUCUUUCUUUACAGGACAACUUCUAGAAUUAUUGCUGCAAAGAUCCGGUUAUCCUCACAGGGAGGUCGUUUUUGAUGUCUUGAGGGGAUCCUAUCAGCAGGAGAUACAGAGAGACUCCUACUGACAUCAGCCUUCAUGCACACAUAUGAAAGGAGAAACCAUGUAGCUGAUCCAGCCUGGAGACCAUCGAUGACAGCCUGGAUGAUGGACACAGGUGAGGGGACUCCAUCAAAGAACAGACAAGACUUUGUUGUAGAAAAACAACAACAACAAAAAAAGAGGCUGACAUCCUAUAAUAAAUUUGUGUUUGGCAGAAUCCUAAGGUGGCCCCAAGAUUCCCACCUCUAGGUGUACAUAUUUUGUAUACUCGCUCACCCUCUGUCUUGAGUGUAGGCAGAACUUGUGAAUAUGAAGGAAUGUCACUCCGUGACAUCUUAGGUUAGAUGACAAAGGUUAUCCCCUCAGGGGAUCUUGAUUAUAGCUGCAAAAUCCCCUUUGUCAUCCCCUUUAAAUUAAUCAAAAGGGAAUAUGAGAGUGGUCUGCAGAUAACAAGUAGCAAGAAAAUGAAGACUUCGGUCCUGCAGCUGCAAGGAAACAAAUUCUGCCGACAAACGCGAGAAACUUUGCAGUGAAUCUUUUCCUGGUCAAGCAUCCAGGUUGAGAACUCAGCUCAGCCAAGACCUUGAUUUCAGACUUGUGAGAGCUUGCAUGGAGAACUCAGUGACUGUCUGUAGUUUAGGAGUUAAUUUUCUCACUCUGUGUAUUAACUGAGUCUGCUUGUAAUUUAUUGUUUCUGACUUUUUUAAAAAACUGUAAAUAUUCAUUGACUUUCUAACGGAUUGCCUUUGAUUGAUCGAUUGGUGAUGGAUGCUAAUGGAAUCUGUGACCCAUUCUUUACAAAUUACAGAUUUCAGAAAAGGAGAGAAGCCAAAAACGUUCACUUGAGAGUGUCAUUUGAAGAGGUAAGCCUCCUCAAUUGACAUAUGUGCCCAAACAUUUAGCUGCAUUAUUUUCUGAAGAGCCAGCAGACCAUUCUGGUGACACACUCUUUGCCUUAUUGUUUGCUACAUAAAAACCUGAAUGGAACUAAAUUAUAAACUAGGGCUAUAGAAUAAAUGCAGCAAUGAUGGCUUGAAUGGCUAAAACCUGAGAUGUCACUCUCAAUGAAAGGCAGUGUUUAUUCCACAGCUCAGAGUCACCAAUAGCAUGAGAUACUAAGAAAAUGAAAUAAACCCUAAGUUAGUAAAUUACAAGAAGUCAUUCUCAAAGUCCAUGUCUUGUCUGUCCUUUUGAUCAUAAGGUCAUUAUGAGAUACAAAUACUAACAUAUUUAAAAUUUAAUAAAAAAGAUUUUAAAAUGUAGUUCUCAAGAGUGGUCAGCAACCUUAAAAUUGGGGGCUGCAAACACAUUCCACUGGCAAAGGAUUAUGCAAGAUAAAUUGUUGAACUUUAAAAGACUAAUAAAUUAUAUUGCAGUUAAUUUUAUUAUCUUUUAAUCAACAAUGAAGUGGAUGCACUAUGUUUAAGUUUUUCAAGGAUUUUGAAUAGAAAAUUGUGUUUUCUGGUCAACUCCCAUCACCAAUAUUCUGGACACGAAAUUUGUUCCAUAUAAGAAAGUAGAAGAGAUGGUUCUGCUGUGCAGACACCUUAAAAAAUCCAGAAAUGUGGCAGAGGUGGUGGCCACCACUUGCUCCUCUUUUCUCGAUUUUCUGAGCUGGACUUUUAUUGAAGGAUAUAGGGAAAUUUGAAAAGAAAAUACUGCUUCUAAUCCUGCAGUCAUCUUCUGCUUUGGCUCUUGAGGGUUCGUUAUUCUGGAAGCUGGAAUGACAUUCAGUAGUGUACUCUGAAAAAUGGGAGGAGUUAAUGCGGUUUUUUAAGGUAUGAUUAUGGUCUCCACUUUCCUGUCUAAUUUUCUGUAGGGUAAUUCAACCUGUAUUUCCCCAUCUCUUAAUGAGAAUGAAUAGCUACACAGUCUGUUUCAGGGGCUUUAAUUGUUUCCUAGACAUUGCGGAUCUUUUCUAAUAGUGCUUGUGAUGCUUGAGACAAAGUCCCCAUUCUUGAAUGGUUUCUGCCAAUCCGACUUUGUGAAUAAACUCUAAUGACAAUAUUUUUGAGAAAACCAUCGUAAGAAUGCCAUCAAUGUCUUGGAAGUGAAUUAUAGGCUAUAGGAGAGCCCUGCGGGGAGGGAGGGAGCAGGGAGCCUGCAGCAGUACUGACCAAAUCUUUCAUGUUCCUAACUAUGAUGAAACAAAGUUGUUGCUUUUUUUUCAAAUUGCCCUAGUUAAAAGCAGUGAACAAACUACUCAAUCUUCACCCCAUGACAAUUUUCUUGUCUCUGUAUGGAACCAGCGUUCAUUUCCAUCAUCUGGCCUAAUAGUUUGAGGCAUUUUCCUUAGUAACAUGUCUAUUCUCUCCUUUAUCAUUUGCCUUAUGGUGACCAGAGCCUUCUAC
RNAcentral lists this long non-coding RNA (4476 nucleotides) under Homo sapiens (human). RNAcentral describes it as "HSALNT0252778". The record is from RNAcentral. Lineage: Eukaryota; Metazoa; Chordata; Mammalia; Primates; Hominidae.